This 1356-nucleotide ribosomal RNA is filed under the name uncultured bacterium. RNAcentral describes it as "bacterial SSU rRNA". It matches the Rfam family "Bacterial small subunit ribosomal RNA", at positions 28 to 1381 of the family's 1533-position model. The record is from RNAcentral.
AUUGAACGCUGGCGGUAGGCUUAACACAUGCAAGUCGUGCGAGAAAGUAUCUUCGGAUAUGAGUAGAGCGGCGGACGGGUGAGUAACGCGUAGGAAUCUACCUAGUAGAAGGGGAUAGCCCGGGGAAACCCGGAUUAAUACCGUAUACCUCCUUCGGGAGAAAGAAGGCCUCUCUUUGAAGCUUUCGCUAUUAGAUGAGCCUGCGUAAGAUUAGCUUGUUGGUGAGGUAAAGGCUCACCAAGGCGACGAUCUUUAGCUGGUCUGAGAGGACGAUCAGCCACAUUGGGACUGAGACACGGCCCAGACUCCUACGGGAGGCAGCAGUGGGGAAUAUUGGACAAUGGGCGCAAGCCUGAUCCAGCCAUACCGCGUGUGUGAAGAAGGCCUUCGGGUUGUAAAGCACUUUAAGCAGGGAGAAAAAGUUAUAAGUUAAUACCUUAUAACCCUGAUGUUACCUGCAGAAUAAGCACCGGCUAAUUCCGUGCCAGCAGCCGCGGUAAUACGGAAGGUGCAAGCGUUAAUCGGAAUUACUGGGCGUAAAGCGCGCGUAGGUGGUUUGUUAAGUUGGAUGUGAAAGCCCUGGGCUCAACCUAGGAACUGCAUCCAAAGCUAACUCACUAGAGUACGAUAGAGGGAGGUAGAAUUCAUAGUGUAGCGGUGGAAUGCGUAGAUAUUAUGAAGAAUACCAGUGGCGAAGGCGGCCUCCUGGAUCUGUACUGACACUGAGGUGCGAAAGCGUGGGUAGCGAACAGGAUUAGAUACCCUGGUAGUCCACGCCGUAAACGAUGACAACUAGCUGUUGGGAGACUAUGUCUUUCAGUGGCGCAGCUAACGCUUUAAGUUGUCCGCCUGGGGAGUACGGCCGCAAGGCUAAAACUCAAAUGAAUAGACGGGGACCCGCACAAGCGGUGGAGCAUGUGGUUUAAUUCGAUGCAACGCGAAAAACCUUACCUACUCUUGACAUACUUGGAGGCUCUUGUAAUGAGAGUGUGCCUUUUGGAACCAAGAUACAGGUGCUGCAUGGCUGUCGUCAGCUCGUGUCGUGAGAUGUUCCGUUAAGUCGGAUAACGAGCGCAACCCUUACCCUUAUUUGCCAGCGAUUCGGUCGGGAACUAUAAGGGGACUGCCGGUGAUAAACCGGAGGAAGGUGAGGACGACGUCAAGUCAUCAUGGCCCUUACGAGUAGGGCUACACACGUGCUACAAUGGGAGAUACAGACGGACGCUAAGCCGCGAGGUGGUGCUAAUCCUAAAAAGUCUUUCGUAGUCCGGAUUGGAGUCUGCAACUCGACUCCAUGAAGUCGGAAUCGCUAGUAAUCGCGGAUCAGCAUGCCGCGGUGAAUACGUUCUCGGGUCU